UACGAAGGGAGCAAGCGUUAUUCGGAAUCACUGGGCGUAAAGAGCGUGUAGGCGGUUGAUUAAGUCAGUUGUUAAAUUCCCCAGCCUAACUGGGGCACAGCGAUUGAAACUGAUCGGCUAGAGUAUAGAAGAGAGAAGUGGAAUUAUCGGAGUAGCGGUAAAAUGCGUAGAUCUCGAUAGGAACACCGAUGGCGAAGGCAGCUUCUUGGUCUAUUACUGACGCUAAAAUGCGAAAGCGUGGGGAGCAAACAGG
Molecule: ribosomal RNA, 253 nt
Filed under: uncultured bacterium
Lineage: Bacteria
Description: partial 16S ribosomal RNA
Rfam family: Bacterial small subunit ribosomal RNA
Source: RNAcentral